RNAcentral lists this ribosomal RNA (253 nucleotides) under uncultured bacterium. Its description in RNAcentral is "partial 16S ribosomal RNA". It matches the Rfam family "Bacterial small subunit ribosomal RNA", at positions 524 to 776 of the family's 1533-position model. The record is from RNAcentral.
UACGUAGGGGGCAAGCGUUGUCCGGAUUUAUUGGGCGUAAAGAGCGUGUAGGCGGUCAGGUAGGUCCGUUGUGAAAACUCGAGGCUCAACCUCGAGACGCCGAUGGAAACCAUCUGACUAGAGUCCGGAAGAGGAGAGUGGAAUUCCUGGUGUAGCGGUGAAAUGCGCAGGUAUCAGGAAGAACACCCGUGGCUAAGGCGGCUCUCUAGUACGGUACUGACGCUGAGACGCGAAAGCGUGGGGAGCGAACAGG